Molecule: transfer RNA, 71 nt
Filed under: Myrmecocystus testaceus
Lineage: Eukaryota; Metazoa; Arthropoda; Insecta; Hymenoptera; Formicidae
Description: tRNA-Leu
Source: RNAcentral
UUUAAUAUGGCAGAUUAGUGCUUUGGGUUUAAAUUCCAAUUAUAAAGAUUAUUUUUUUUCUUUUAUUAAAA